This 483-nucleotide ribosomal RNA is filed under the name uncultured bacterium. RNAcentral's name for it is "bacterial SSU rRNA". It matches the Rfam family "Bacterial small subunit ribosomal RNA", at positions 30 to 507 of the family's 1533-position model. The record is from RNAcentral.
AUUGAACGCUGGCGGCAUGCCUUACACAUGCAAGUCGAACGCGAAAGCGGAGCAAUCCGCAAGUAGAGGGGCGAACGGGUGAGUAAUACAUCGAAACAUUUCCAGUAGCGGGGGAUAACCUGUCAAAAGAUAGGCUAAUACCGCAUACAAUCUACGGAUGAAAGCGGGGGACCGAAAGGCCUCGCACUAUUGGAGUGGCCAAUGUCGGAUUAGCUAGUUGGGGGGGUAAAAGCCUACCAAGGCAACGAUCCGUAGCUGGUCUGAAAGGACAAUCAGCCACACUGGAACUGAGACACGGUCCAAACUCCUACGGGAGGCAGCAGGGGGGAAUUUUGGACAAUGGGCGCAAGCCUGAUCCAGCCAUGCCGCGUGAGUGAAGAAGGCCUUCGGGUUGUAAAGCUCUUUCGGUGAAAACAAAACGGUUAGUGUUAAUAACACUGACUAAUGACGGUACUCACAGAAAAAGCACCGGCUAACUACGUG